RNAcentral lists this transfer RNA (90 nucleotides) under Nioella halotolerans. RNAcentral describes it as "Rhodobacteraceae bacterium W635 tRNA-Ser". It matches the Rfam family "tRNA". Rfam says of the family: Transfer RNA (tRNA) molecules are approximately 80 nucleotides in length. Lineage: Bacteria; Pseudomonadati; Pseudomonadota; Alphaproteobacteria; Rhodobacterales; Paracoccaceae. The record is from RNAcentral. RNAcentral also lists the same sequence under 1 other name.
GGAGACGUGGCCGAGCGGUCGAAGGCGCUCCCCUGCUAAGGGAGUAGGCCCGGAAGGGUCUCGUGGGUUCGAAUCCCAUCGUCUCCGCCA